Molecule: ribosomal RNA, 706 nt
Filed under: Pseudomonadota bacterium
Lineage: Bacteria; Pseudomonadati; Pseudomonadota
Description: bacterial SSU rRNA
Rfam family: Bacterial small subunit ribosomal RNA
Source: RNAcentral
AUUGAACGCUAGCGGGAUGCCUUACACAUGCAAGUCGAACGGCAGCGCGGACUUCGGUCUGGCGGCGAGUGGCGAACGGGUGAGUAAUAUAUCGGAACGUGCCUAGUAGCGGGGGAUAACUACUCGAAAGAGUGGCUAAUACCGCAUACGCCCUACGGGGGAAAGGGGGGGAUCGCAAGACCUCUCACUAUUAGAGCGGCCGAUAUCGGAUUAGCUAGUUGGUGGGGUAAAGGCCCACCAAGGCGACGAUCCGUAGCUGGUUUGAGAGGACGACCAGCCACACUGGGACUGAGACACGGCCCAGACUCCUACGGGAGGCAGCAGUGGGGAAUUUUGGACAAUGGGGGAAACCCUGAUCCAGCCAUUCCGCGUGUGCGAUGAAGGCCUUCGGGUUGUAAAGCACUUUUGGCAGGAAAGAAAUCGCACAGAUUAAUACUUUGUGUGGAUGACGGUACCUGCAGAAUAAGCACCGGCUAACUACGUGCCAGCAGCCGCGGUAAUACGUAGGGUGCAAGCGUUAAUCGGAAUUACUGGGCGUAAAGCGUGCGCAGGCGGUUCGGAAAGAGAGGUGUGAAAUCCCAGGGCUUAACCUUGGAACUGCACUUUUAACUCCCGAGCUAGAGUAUGUCAGAGGGGGGUGGAAUUCCGCGUGUAGCAGUGAAAUGCGUAGAUAUGCGGAGGAACACCGAUGGCGAAGGCAGCCCCC